GGAUUAGAUACCCUGGUAGUCCACGCUGUAAACGAUGAAUGCCAGUCGUUGGGUAGUUCACUACUCAGUGACGCAGAUAACUCUUUAAGCAUUCCGCCUGGGGAGUACGGUCGCAAGAUUAAAACUCAAAGGAAUUGACGGGGGCCCGCACAAGCGGUGGAUUAUGUGGUUUAAUUCGAAGCAACGCGCAGAACCUUACCGGCUCUUGACAUGCUACGACGGUUUCCAGAGAUGGAUUCCUUCCCGCAAGGGACGUAGACACAGGUGCUGCAUGGCUGUCGUCAGCUCGUGCCG
Molecule: ribosomal RNA, 294 nt
Filed under: uncultured bacterium
Lineage: Bacteria
Description: partial 16S ribosomal RNA
Rfam family: Bacterial small subunit ribosomal RNA
Source: RNAcentral